ACGGGAGGCAGCAGUGGGGGAUAUUGCACAAUGGGGGAAACCCUGAUGCAGCGACGCCGCGUGAGUGAAGAAGUAUUUCGGUAUGUAAAGCUCUAUCAGCAGGGAAGAAAAUGACGGUACCUGACUAAGAAGCUCCGGCUAAAUACGUGCCAGCAGCCGCGGUAAUACGUAUGGAGCAAGCGUUAUCCGGAUUUACUGGGUGUAAAGGGAGCGUAGACGGCGAGGCAAGUCUGAUGUGAAAGCUAUGGGCUCAACCCAUAAACUGCAUUGGAAACUGUCUUGCUUGAGUGUCGGAGAGGUAAGCGGAAUUCCUAGUGUAGCGGUGAAAUGCGUAGAUAUUAGGAGGAACACCAGUGGCGAAGGCGGCUUACUGGACGAUAACUGACGCCGAGGUGCGAAAGCUAGGGGAGCGAACAGGAUUAGAUACCCUGGUA
This 434-nucleotide ribosomal RNA is filed under the name uncultured Ruminococcus sp. RNAcentral describes it as "partial 16S ribosomal RNA". It matches the Rfam family "Bacterial small subunit ribosomal RNA", at positions 341 to 792 of the family's 1533-position model. The record is from RNAcentral. Lineage: Bacteria; Bacillati; Bacillota; Clostridia; Eubacteriales; Oscillospiraceae.